This is a long non-coding RNA of Oncorhynchus keta (chum salmon), 852 nucleotides long. RefSeq lists it as uncharacterized. The transcript has 4 exons. The record is from RefSeq and is a predicted model, not a curated record. NCBI's taxonomy places the organism in Eukaryota, Metazoa, Chordata, Actinopteri, Salmoniformes, Salmonidae.
CCUGAUCAGUAGGUAUUGAUACGUACGGACCCCUGAUCAGUAGGUAUUGAUACGUACGGACCCCUGAUCAGUAGGUAUUGAUACGUACGGACCCCUGAUCAGUAGGUAUUGAUACGUACGGACCCCUGAUCAGUAGGUAUUGAUACGUACGGACCCCUGAUCAGUAGGUAUUGAUACGUACGGACCCCUGAUCAGUAGGUAUUGAUACGUACGGACCCCUGAUCAGUAGGUAUUGAUACGUACGGACCCCUGAUCAGUAGGUAUUGAUACGUACGGACCCCUGAUCAGUAGGUAUUGAUACGUACGGACCCCUGAUCAGUAGGUAUUGAUACGUACGGACCCCUGAUCAGUAGGUAUUGAUACGUACGGACCCCUGAUCAGUAGGUAUUGAUACGUACGGACCCCUGAUCAGUAGGUAUUGAUACGUACGGACCCCUGAUCAGUAGGUAUUGAUACGUACGGACCCCUGAUCAGUAGGUAUUGAUACGUACGGACCCCUGAUCAGUAGGUAUUGAUACGUACGGACCCCUGAUCAGUAGGUAUUGAUACGUACGGACCCCUGAUCAGUAGGUAUUGAUACGUACGGACCCCUGAUCAGUAGGUAUUGAUACGUACGGACCCCUGAUCAGUAGGUAUUGAUACGUACGGACCCCUGAUCAGUAGGUAUUGAUACGUACGGACCCCUGAUCAGUAGGUAUUGAUACGUACGGACCCCUGAUCAGUAGGUAUUGAUACGUACGGACCCCUGAUCAGUAGGUAUUGAUACGUACGGACCCCUGAUCAGUAGGUAUUGAUACGUACGGACCCCUGAUCAGUAGGUAUUGAUACGUACGGACCCCUGAUCAGUAGGUA